Mugil cephalus (flathead mullet) is the source of this 394-nucleotide long non-coding RNA. RefSeq lists it as uncharacterized. The record is from RefSeq and is a predicted model, not a curated record. Lineage: Eukaryota; Metazoa; Chordata; Actinopteri; Mugiliformes; Mugilidae. The transcript is spliced from 3 exons.
AGACGCAUGAAGGACUGGUCGAACGCUUUCAGGAAAGAGUUGAGCCGCAUGCCGUGAAAGCUCCUCAAAAUACCUCCGAGUGGUUUUAGAGAGAGAGACAGAGAUCAUCUGAAUCUGACACUAGCAGUCAGUGGCGAGCCAACUGCAGAAUCGACAAAAGGACCAAGAGCCUGGUGUGGCCAGCCGUGGCGUUUUGGAAUCGUCAUCAUCCUACUACUUCAUUUGAAACACAGAUAAGAACACACAUAAGAACAAGUCUACCCAGGUAGUGAAGGAACACAUUUUACUGAACACACACACCAAGAACUCUCAAGAAUUCCGGAAAGAGCAGCUUUAUUUCCUUUAACUUUGAAUGAAAUCUCAUAAAGGGACACUUUUUGUUGCGAUUAUUUAU